Gossypium raimondii (Peruvian cotton) is the source of this 109-nucleotide non-coding RNA. NCBI's taxonomy places the organism in Eukaryota, Viridiplantae, Streptophyta, Magnoliopsida, Malvales, Malvaceae. The record is from Rfam.
UAUUAAAAAUUCUAUCCAUUUCUACUAUUAAAAACUGGCACCUAUAUGUUAGCAUGAGGUACACGUAACAUGCUACGUGUAACAGUAGAAAUGAAUGGAAUUUUUAAAG